This 706-nucleotide ribosomal RNA is filed under the name uncultured Thermoplasmatales archaeon. RNAcentral's name for it is "bacterial SSU rRNA". It matches the Rfam family "Archaeal small subunit ribosomal RNA", at positions 200 to 905 of the family's 1478-position model. Lineage: Archaea; Methanobacteriati; Thermoplasmatota; Thermoplasmata; Thermoplasmatales. The record is from RNAcentral.
CGCCAGAGGGUGAGUCUGCGGCCUAUCAGGUAGUAGGUGGUGUAACGGACCACCUAGCCUAAGACGGGUACGGGCCUUGAGAGAGGGAGCCCGGAGAUGGGUUCUGAGACACGAACCCAGGCCCUACGGGGCGCAGCAGGCGCGAAACCUUCGCACUGCGCGAAAGCGCGACGAGGGGAGCCCGAGUGCCUCUCCAUUUCGGGGAGGCUUUUCACAAGCCUAAAAAGCUUGUGGAAUAAGGGCUGGGCAAGACGGGUGCCAGCCGCCGCGGUAAUACCCGCAGCUCGAGUGGUGGUCGCUUUUAUUGAGCCUAAAACGUUCGUAGUCGGCCUUGUAAAUCCCUGGGUAAAUCGGACCGCUUAACGGUUCGAAUUCCGGGGAGACUGCAAGGCUAGGGACCGGGCGAGGUCAGAGGUACUUUCGGGGUAGGAGUGAAAUCCUGUAAUCCCGAAGGGACCACCUGUGGCGAAAGCGUCUGACUUGAACGGCUCCGACGAUGAGGAACGAAGGCUAGGGGAGCAAACCGGAUUAGAUACCCGGGUAGUCCUAGCUGUAAACUCUGCCCGCUUGGUGUGGCCUGUCCUUCGGGGGCAGGCUGUGCCGGAGCGAAGGUGUUAAGCGGGCUGCUUGGGGAGUACGGCCGCAAGGUUGAAACUUAAAGGAAUUGGCGGGGGAGCACCGCAACGGGAGGAUGCGUGCGGUUUAA